RNAcentral lists this non-coding RNA (27 nucleotides) under Bombyx mori (domestic silkworm). The record is from RNAcentral. Lineage: Eukaryota; Metazoa; Arthropoda; Insecta; Lepidoptera; Bombycidae.
UGAAGGUAUCCAAUCUUGGUCGGCGAA